UACCCCUACGGGAGGCAGCAGUGGGGAAUAUUGCACAAUGGGGGAAACCCUGAUGCAGCGACGCCGCGUGAGGAUGAAGGUUUUCGGAUUGUAAACUCCUUUUGUUAGAGAAGAUAAUGACGGUAUCUAACGAAUAAGCACCGGCUAACUCCGUGCCAGCAGCCGCGGUAAUACGGAGGGUGCAAGCGUUACUCGGAAUCACUGGGCGUAAAGAGCGCGUAGGCGGGAUAGCAAGUCAGAUGUGAAAUCCUAUGGCUUAACCAUAGAACUGCAUUUGAAACUGUUAUUCUAGAUUACGGGAGAGG
RNAcentral lists this ribosomal RNA (305 nucleotides) under uncultured bacterium. RNAcentral describes it as "bacterial SSU rRNA". It matches the Rfam family "Bacterial small subunit ribosomal RNA", at positions 334 to 657 of the family's 1533-position model. The record is from RNAcentral.